AUACUGUGAAAGCUCCUUUGUC
RNAcentral lists this microRNA (22 nucleotides) under Haemonchus contortus (barber pole worm). Its description in RNAcentral is "hco-miR-5936". The record is from miRBase by way of RNAcentral. Lineage: Eukaryota; Metazoa; Nematoda; Chromadorea; Rhabditida; Trichostrongylidae.